UACGAAGGGAGCUAGCGUUACUCGGAAUCACUGGGCGUAAAGCGCAUGUAGGCGGAAUUUUAAGUCAGGGGUGAAAGCCUGAGGCUCAACCUCAGAAUUGCCCUUGAAACUGAAAUUCUUGAACUUGACAGAGGAUAGUGGAAUUUCCAGUGUAGAGGUGAAAUUCGUAGAUAUUGGAAGGAACACCAGUGGCGAAGGCGGCUAUCUGGGUCAAUGUUGACGCUGAGAUGCGAAAGCGUGGGGAGCAAACAGG
Molecule: ribosomal RNA, 253 nt
Filed under: uncultured bacterium
Lineage: Bacteria
Description: partial 16S ribosomal RNA
Rfam family: Bacterial small subunit ribosomal RNA
Source: RNAcentral